GCUGGUGGAUGAAGUGAACACAACAGCCGCUGUAUCUUCUGGCCUUCAACAAGGUGCAUGACGUGACCUCUUCAGUGUGCUUAUCACUGUCGAGUCAGAGAGAUACAGUCUCAGUGUAAAAAUCCGUGCUUUAGGAUUCAACGAACUCUUGGAAAGCAUUUUCUGCAUCCUGCUGGUUGUGGAAGCGUUUUACCUGUGAAAAGUUGUCAAGAUACUUGAAGAAGGGGUAACCUGUUGGCAAGACAUCAGACCCCAGAGUUGUGUGAAGAGAAGCACAAAGUCUGAGAGUGGGUCAUUGAGAUUGAUGGUAAGUGGGGUCAUUGGGGUUCCUUCUGCUUCCACCCUCUAAUUUCACAAACCAAUUUUUUUUUUUUUUGAAUUGGUGAUAAAACACCACAUAAAUGUCUCUGCGCCAGUGCAUACAGUGCAUCCUGAAAGAUAGUUUCCAUCCUUGCAGGCUAUUGUCUCCAAGUUGGUGAUUCAGCUGUAUCUUCAACAGGACAUUGCAUCCCCUCCACAGGAAGUUUUUGGGUGGGGUGGUGUCUGAUAAGACUACACGGUCCAUUCUUGUGCCUUCUUCACUGCAAACUGAAUGCCUUGGUUGAAUGUUGUAUGGGAUUCCAACCUUGUGGAUCAGACAUGCCAUAAGCUCUGGAUAGUGAUGCUGGCGGAUACCCUUGAGGGCAGGAAGGCAUAUCCAGAAUAGAUGACUAUUCCUGUGAAAAUGAACCACAAACUCUUCAAGGAUGAAAGAGUCCCAACCUAGUCAACCUUCACCAAAUUACCAGUUGCUCUCCUUAACAAAUUGUUCAUACUAAAGGUUCAGAGAUGGGAAUGUCAGACCACCUUACCUGUCUCCUGAGAAACCAGUAUGUAGGUCAAGAAGCAAUAGUCAG
Odocoileus virginianus texanus is the source of this 896-nucleotide non-coding RNA. NCBI's taxonomy places the organism in Eukaryota, Metazoa, Chordata, Mammalia, Artiodactyla, Cervidae. The record is from RefSeq and is a predicted model, not a curated record.